Molecule: ribosomal RNA, 253 nt
Filed under: uncultured bacterium
Lineage: Bacteria
Description: partial 16S ribosomal RNA
Rfam family: Bacterial small subunit ribosomal RNA
Source: RNAcentral
UACGUAGGUGGCAAGCGUUGUCCGGAAUUAUUGGGCGUAAAGCGCGCGCAGGCGGUCUCUUAAGUCUGAUAUGAAAUCCCGUGGCUUAACCACGGGCGGUCAUUGGAAACUGGGGGACUUGAGUGCAGAAGAGAAGAGCGGAAUUCCACGUGUAGCGGUGAAAUGCGUAGAGAUGUGGAGGAACACCAGUGGCGAAGGCGGCUCUUUGGUCUGUAACUGACGCUGAGGCGCGAAAGCGUGGGGAGCGAACAGG